Molecule: long non-coding RNA, 412 nt
Filed under: Helianthus annuus (common sunflower)
Lineage: Eukaryota; Viridiplantae; Streptophyta; Magnoliopsida; Asterales; Asteraceae
Source: RNAcentral
CAUGGGUUUCUAGGUCAAAAGAAGGAGGAUUUGAUCUGGAUAUGGCAUACAUCACUGAGAAUAUAAUUGCAAUGGGAUUCCCUGUAGGCGUCUUUGGAUACGUUGAGUUUAGACUUUUGAUAAUUUUUUAAGGGAUUUUACCGUAACCACAUGGAGGAAGUAAUCAAGUUCUUUGAAGCUAAGCACAAGGGCGCUAUUGGAGGUGAGGACCGUGAGGUGGUACGGUGGCGCCCUUCAUACCCUCCGGCAUAAGACAUUCGUCUUGUAUAUUUCUAUUCUAAUGGUAACACAUUUGACCCUUGUUUUUGUGUCGAUAGUUAGAUACCUCCAAGGAAGACUGCAACUUCCUACAGGUUUUUAUUAGAAUCUCUAAAGUCUGAACUUAUUAUUGAAGAUGUACAGUUGACUUGUC